GAUACCGUGGUACAAAACUAUUUCAGAUAACUCUCUUUCAUUUACACUCGCCGGACUCCGGCGACAUGUUUGACGGAACUCUUUUCCCGGCAACUUCUCCGGUGACCCGAAAUCCGAGAUCCGGUCUAUUUUUAAUUGUUUCCGGUAAUAUGCCUGUUUGGAUUGCUGGAAACCAAUUGGAAAAUUUUCCCGGCAAAUCUCGGUAAUUCGGUCACAUCGUUGGGAUUCUUUUCUUUUUUUGUCGUCGUUGGUGAUUGUUUUCUCUAUACUUUAGAUGUAAUUGCUCAAAUUUCGACUUUCUGGUUUUUUUUUUAGAGAUUAGAUAGAAAAAAGUGGGCUUGUUUUAUAUAAUUUGGCUCAGGAAUUGGGUACGAAGUGUGAAAUGAAGGUAUACAGUAUUGAUUUGUUGAACUGAUGGAAAGGAUAAACAGAUGGAGAGUGAUUGUCUUCAAAGAUCGGAAUUUGUUUUCUGGGUAUUGGGAGCAUAAUCAAGAACUGUGGCAUAAGGGUAAUUCUUUGAUGAUUAAUCAGGAUUGUUUUCCUUUUGGGGAACUUGCUUGAUUUUUUUCUUUGGUUGACAGCAAAUAUUGGUUAAUAUUACUAAAAACAACCUUUUUAGAUUACAAUUGAUGGAGGAAGAAGAGGAAGUAAUGAGUCAUUCAAUAAUGAAUACGAGGGGAGGAGUAAAUGAUGGUCGCUUACGAUUAGGAUCAAGUGAUUCACUCCUCCCUGGUCUUAUUGAUGAUGUUGCAUUGAAUUGUCUGGCCUCGGCAUGCAGAUCAGACUAUGCCUCAUUAUCAUGUAUAAACAAGAUGUUUCAUAAGCUAAUUGAAAGCGGAUAUUUGUAUGGGCUAAGGAAGCAAUUGGGAAUUAUAGAGCAUUGGGUGUAUUUAGUUUGUGAUCCAAGGGGAUGGGAGGCAUUUGAUCCUGUGAGAAAGAAAUGGAUGGCUUUGCCUAAGAUACCUUGCGAUGAGUGUUUCAAUCAUGCAGAUAAGGAGUCAUUGGCUGUGGAUAGCGAAUUGCUUGUUUUUGGGCGUGAGCUGUUUGAUUUUGCUAUUUGGAAGUAUAGUUUGAUUGAUCAUGGCUGGGUCAAAUGUGAAGGGAUGAAUCGGCCCCGGUGUUUGUUUGGAUCAGGUAGCUUUGGUUCUAUUGCUGUUGUUGCCGGAGGGAGUGAUAAGAAUGGGAACGUUUUGAAUUCAGCAGAGUUGUAUGACUCUUCAACAGGCAAAUGGGAAAUGCUACCAAACAUGCAUUCGCCACGUAGAUUGUGCUCGGGAUUUUUUAUGGAUGGCAAAUUCUAUGUGAUUGGUGGGAUGUCAAGUCCCACUGUUUCAUUGACUUGUGGGGAGGAGUAUGAUUUCGAGACAAGGAAAUGGAGGACUAUUGAAGGGAUGUAUCCAAAUGUUAAUAGGGCUGCUCAGGCUCCUCCGCUUGUUGCAGUUGUGGAUAACCAGCUAUAUGCUGUUGAGUAUUUAACUAACAUGGUGAAGAAGUAUGACAAGGUAAAAAAACACCUGGGUUGUGUUGGGGAGGCUGCCUGUGAGGGCGGAUUCUUCAAAUGGUUGGGGCCUGGCUUUCAAGGCUUGUGGGGAGGAAAUUCUAGUUGUGGGUGGGCAAAGGGGCCCAGAAGGUGAAUCUGUUGUGCUUAACUCAUGGUGUCCAAAGUCUGGAGUCAAUAAUGGAACUUUGGAUUGGAAAAUUCUUGGUGUGAAGGAGCAUGUUGGCGUGUUUGUUUACAAUUGUGCUGUUAUGGGUUGUUGAGGAUUCUUUUAGAUCAACUCAACAGAGGGUGCAGGUUGCUGCAAUCUUACCUGUCCUUUUAGGGUGCUGCCUGAGCAAUUAUUUGAUUCACUAGAAUUAAUUUGUCACUGAGAUAGCACUUCUCAAUAUGAAAAUUUGGUUUCCUUCCUUAACAACCCUGUAUUUAAAUUUGUGUGCUUCACUUUAAGAUUCUGCAUUUUUAUUUGCUUUAAAGAGUACUGAGUAGGGUUUACUCAGGUAAUGCUCUAUUCUCUCAUUUUCUCUUUUCUUUUUCUUUGUUAUAGCUUAUUCUCUGUUGUUUGCAACUGUAUUGAUUUAGGAUUGACCUUCCUUUUCAUACAAAUCUUGUUAAUUUCUUUGUUAAGUUUUGAUUUUGAAAUUGAUGUUUGAUUAUCUUUCAUAAAGAUUGCAUUGAAUAGAAGGUUUAGCUUUGUCUAUUUUGAAUUGGGCAGUGUUUGGAGUUCUUUAGGAGUAUAUCAUUUGGAGCUUUUUCCAUCUGUUAGCUUCUAAUCACAUAAUAGGCUGAAAAGGGUAUAUGAAAUAUGCAAAAUUUCUUCCCCUUUUAUUGGUUAAUUUUGUGAAAUAUAUGAAUGAGCCUGUGAUGCAUAGAAAAUUUGUUCGUACAAUCUAAUGAUUUCUAUAUCUUGAUGCAUUGAAAUAUUUUCUGAGGCCUUUUUGAGUCUUUUUAAUCCUUAUUUUUUUGGGUUUAUUGUUUCAAAAAAGAAGAAUAAUUUAUUGAUAGAAAUCAUGGUGAAAGGGCAUUGAUGAUGAAAAUUAUACCAUCAAACUAUGAGAGCUCAAAAGUUAGCUUGUUGAUGUUCAUUAAUCUCUGAGCCUUUUCUUUCUACAUGCAACUUUGAUCUACGGAGGAUUUUAAUUCUUUUUUUUUUUUGUUCUUUCCUUUUAAUAUAUUUUUAAUAAUCUGGAUCUCAUAAGGGGAAACAAAAUGAAGUUGGAAAGGCAACAGAAUAGAGUUUCUGGAUUGCUUUGAUCAUCUAUAGCGUUUUCAGUGCUGUACAUUGCCGAUACUGAUUUGGUGGUGAGAUUCUGGCAAUUUCCUUACUUUUCUUCUUGAGUCUUGUGCAUUUAGAUGUAGGCACAUGCUCAUUUAAAUUUGUUUUUGAAAUUGUAAGAAUUUUUUUUUUUUUUAAUGCUUGUUGGCUCAAAGCUUCAGCUUUUAUGGGUCCCUAUCUCUGUAAAUCAUGUAUAACUUUUAUGCAUUACAGUUUAGUUCAAUCUCCACAAAUUGUUAGAAUUGAUGUAUUGUCCAUAAAUAGAGUAAUCAGUUAUGGAAAAUUAGAUCUUGUUAUGGAUGAUAAUGCUUUGACCUAUCUAAAUAGGACGAGCAUUGUCCUUUUCUAUGUAUCUUUUAUUUCUUUUUCCUGAACAUUAAUAGAAUGAAGAAUAUGAAUUCACAAAUGAUUUCAACUACUUGUUGGGUUGAGCACUUGAGCUUUCAGUUACAAGAAAAUCAUGUUAUGUGCUUUCCAUAGGUCAAACUUUGUUAUUCUCCAUGGCAUGUGUAAAGGCAACAAAUUAGAGUCUCUGAUGCACUUUCUUAAUAGUGAUUUCAGUGCUGUACGUUGCCAAUAUGAAUGUGGGGGCUAAGAUUUUGGCAUGGCUUCUUAUCAGUUAGGCUUAUGCAUUCAGAUCCUCCCACAUUUGACUUGUGUACAUCAAGUAGUUGUGCAUUUGUAUUGACUAAUUAUGUUUGUAUGACGCUGUGAAUAAAGAAUAUCAGUUAGACUUUGAUGUGAACAAUUGGCAUGUGUUGGUAUUUUUUUUUUCUAUAUGUUUCAAUGCUACACUCUAUAUGCAACAUGUUCAUUUGAGUCUCCAUCAAUUCUAACAAAAUUUUGCUUUUUUUUUAUUAUGUUAGCAAAGGGCAAAUUUAGGGUUUAUAGGAAGUGGUGUAUCCUCUGCCAUUUAGUUGCUAUUAAUGGCCUCUGAUCUGUGUCAUUCACUCUUUCUUCAGUUUUUUGUAGACUCUAUCUCGCCUUCACCCUCUACUUAGCUUGGUAUUACUGGAAAUAUGAGAAAGUGAAGUUAAUUUUGUGAAAUAUAUUAAUGCAGAUGGGCCUUUGAUGCAUAGAAAAAUUGUUCGUACCAUCUGAUGAUAUGGAUCUCUUGAUGCAUUGAAACAUCUCUAGCUUCUGAGGCCUUUAUGAGUCUUUUUAAUCCUAUUAUUUUGUUUUUUUUUUUUGAAAAAGAAGAAUAACUUAUUAAUAGAAAUCACAGCCAAAGGGCCUUGAUGAUGACAAUUAUACCAUCAAACCAUGAGAGCUCAAAAAUGAGCUUGAAGUUCUUUAAUUCUUAACUCUCUGAGCCCUUUUUUCCUCUAUUUUACUUCAACUUUUGUUGUUUCUAUUUCUCUUUUCUUUUUUACUUGAAAUAAUGUUGCGUUCGAUUUAUGGCAGCUGUUAGCUCUUUCUCUUUCUUUUUUAAUAACCUAGAUCGCUUAUGGAAGAAAAUAAUAAGUUGGAAGGCAUAACAUUUUUAGUGCUGUACAUUGCCAAUACUGAUAUGGUGCAAAGAUUCUGGCAUUUUCCUCGCUUUUCUUUCUUAAGGUUUAUGCAUUCAGAUGUGCCACACACUGUUUAUGUUUUGAUUUUUGUUUCUUGUUAAUCAUAAAGUUAAGCAUUUAUGCGUCCUUGUCUCUGUAGUUCUUAAAUAGCUUAUAUUGCAUUAUAAUUUAAUUUAAUUUAAUCCCAUCAAGCUGUUAGAAUUGAUGAAUUAUCUAGAAGUGCAGUAAUGGAAAAGUUAGAUUGAACAAUGGAUAAUGAUACUUUGACUUAUGUUUUUAACUUUUAUUUUUUUCACCUGAACAUUUAACAGAAUGAAGAAAAAUCUGAAUGAAUCUAUACAACUAAUUAUUUGUUGGGUUGAGCUUUCAGUUUCAAGAAAAUCUUAUUAUGUAUCUCUUAUAUGUCAAGACUAUGUUAUGUUCCAUUGUAUGUGAGAGAGGCAACAAAUUAAGACUCUCUGAUGUGCUCUCUCAAUAGUGUUUUCAGUGCUGUAUGUUGCUGAUAUGAAUGUGAAACUGGAGGUGGGAGCUGAGAUUCUGGUGUCGUCUUAUGUAAUCAGAGGUUCAUUGCAUUCAGAUGUUCCCAUAUUUCAAAAUUGUACAUUGCUCUGUGCUACUUCUGUGUUGACUAAUUAUGUUAUAUGCUAUAAGCAAGAUGAUUCUUCUAGUCUUUGAAAUUAGCUCUUGCAAUUUUAUGCUUUGUUUGAGAUUGUGGGUGGGAAGCUAAAAUUUUGUAUCUCGAAAAAGUAUUAUUUUAUAUGUGAAAAAAGUUUAGUUAUUUU
Molecule: unclassified non-coding RNA, 5067 nt
Filed under: Hevea brasiliensis (rubber tree)
Lineage: Eukaryota; Viridiplantae; Streptophyta; Magnoliopsida; Malpighiales; Euphorbiaceae
Rfam family: small nucleolar RNA snoR116 (bases 2518-2598)
Source: RNAcentral